This 397-nucleotide ribosomal RNA is filed under the name uncultured bacterium. RNAcentral's name for it is "partial 16S ribosomal RNA". It matches the Rfam family "Bacterial small subunit ribosomal RNA", at positions 523 to 918 of the family's 1533-position model. The record is from RNAcentral.
AUACGUAGGGGGCGAGCGUUGUCCGGAAUGAUUGGGCGUAAAGGGCGCGUAGGCGGCCCGGUAAGUCUGGAGUGAAAGUCCUGUUUUUAAGAUGGGAAUUGCUUUGGAUACUGUCGGGCUUGAGUGCAGGAGAGGUAAGUGGAAUUCCCAGUGUAGCGGUGAAAUGAGUAGAGAUUGGGAGGAACACCAGUGGCGAAGGCGACUUACUGGACUGUAACUGACGCUGAGGCGCGAAAGUGUGGGGAGCAAACAGGAUUAGAUACCCUGGUAGUCCACACUGUAAACGAUGAAUGCUAGGUGUAGGGGGUAUCGACCCCUUCUGUGCCGCAGUCAACACAAUAAGCAUUCCGCCUGGGGAGUACGGCCGCAAGGUUGAAACUCAAAGGAAUUGACGGGG